CCUACGGGUGGCAGCAGUGGGGAAUAUUGCACAAUGGGGGAAACCCUGAUGCAGCGACGCCGCGUGAGUGAAGAAGUAUUUCGGUAUGUAAAGCUCUAUCAGCAGGGAAGAAAAUGACGGUACCUGACUAAGAAGCCCCGGCUAACUACGUGCCAGCAGCCGCGGUAAUACGUAGGGGGCAAGCGUUAUCCGGAUUGACUGGGUGUAAAGGGAGCGUAGGUGGCAUGGUAAGCCAGAAGUGAAAACCCGGGGCUCAACCCCGCGGAUUGCUUUUGGAACUAUCAGGCGGGAGUGCUGGUGGGGUAAGCGGAAUGCCUAGUGUAGCGGUGAAAUGCGUAGAUAUUAGGAAGAACACCGGUGGCGAAGGCGGCUUACUGGACAGAAACUGACACUGAGGCUCGAAAGCGUGGGGAGCAAACAGGAUUAGAUACCCCUGUAGUC
RNAcentral lists this ribosomal RNA (441 nucleotides) under uncultured bacterium. Its description in RNAcentral is "partial 16S ribosomal RNA". It matches the Rfam family "Bacterial small subunit ribosomal RNA", at positions 338 to 795 of the family's 1533-position model. The record is from RNAcentral.